RNAcentral lists this unclassified non-coding RNA (377 nucleotides) under uncultured bacterium. RNAcentral's name for it is "contains 16S-23S intergenic spacer region". The record is from RNAcentral.
UCCGGUUUGUCACCGGCAGUCUCCCUAGAGUUCCCGGCCGAACCGCUGGCAACUAGGGACAAGGGUUGCGCUCGUUGCGGGACUUAACCCAACAUCUCACGACACGAGCUGACGACAGCCAUGCACCACCUGUACACCUGCCCCGAAGGGCUGCCGUAUUUCUACGACAUUCAGGUGCAUGUCAAGCCCAGGUAAGGUUCUUCGCGUUGCUUCGAAUUAAACCACAUGCUCCGCUGCUUGCGCGGGCCCCCGUCAAUUCCUUUGAGUUUUAGCCUUGCGGCCGUACUCCCCAGGCGGAACACUUAACGCGUUGGCUGCGGCACAGGAGGAUUCGACUCCCCCCACACCUAGUGUUCAUCGUUUACGGCUAGGACUAC